Molecule: unclassified non-coding RNA, 120 nt
Organism: Aotus nancymaae (Ma's night monkey)
Lineage: Eukaryota; Metazoa; Chordata; Mammalia; Primates; Aotidae
Rfam family: Y RNA
About the family: Y RNAs are components of the Ro ribonucleoprotein particle (Ro RNP), in association with Ro60 and La proteins.
Source: Ensembl
GGCUGCUCUGAAGGUAGUGAGUUAUUUCAAUUGAUUGUUCACCAUCAGUUACAGUUGAACUCCUUGUUCUACUCUUUCCCCUCACCCUUCUCACUACUGACUGCACUUGACUAGUCUUUU